GGCAGCACGGGAGCUUGCUCCUGUUCGGCGAGUGGCAAGCGGGUGACUAAUGCUUCGGAACGUGCCCAGUAAUGGGGGAUAAUUGCCCCUAAAGUUGUGCUAAUACCGCAUACACCCUGAGGGGGAAAGCGGGGGAUCGUAAGACCUCCCGUUAUUCGAGAGGGCAAAGUUUGACCCCCCCCUUAUUGGGAUAAAGGC
This 198-nucleotide ribosomal RNA is filed under the name uncultured bacterium. RNAcentral's name for it is "partial 16S ribosomal RNA". The record is from RNAcentral.